Molecule: ribosomal RNA, 253 nt
Filed under: uncultured bacterium
Lineage: Bacteria
Description: partial 16S ribosomal RNA
Rfam family: Bacterial small subunit ribosomal RNA
Source: RNAcentral
UACGUAGGUGGCAAGCGAUACUCGGAAUCACUAGGCGUAAAGCGCAGGUAGGCGGUUCAGUAAGUCUUUUGUGAAAGCUCCUGGCUCAACUGGGAGAGGUCAAGGGAAACUACUGGACUAGAGUGUGGUAGGGGAUACUGGAAUUCCUGGUGUAGCGGUGAAAUGCGUAGAUAUCAGGAGGAAUACCUAUGGCGAAAGCAGGUAUCUGGGCCAUCACUGACGCUGAGCUGCGAAAGCUAGGGGAGCAAACAGG